CCGAAGCAGAGAAACGGGGUGCUCGAGCUGGUCCCACCGCAGCUGUCCGGAUCCUUUUGGAGGCACCUGUUUUCUUUCAUUUUUUUUCAACAAAAAAACCUGGAUUUGGUGCGUCCCGCCAUCAUCUCUGGAAAAAUUGGGGCAAAACCCUGGAAAAUCGGGACAGUUGCUUCACAUCCAGUGGUUUCGGCUCUGUUUUUUGCACCUGGGAAAGGCCAAAACUGCCCAGAAACGCCCCAAAAUGGGGCCAAGAAAGGAAAAUGGAGACUUUGGGGGUUUCCGGUGGUGUCACAGCGCCUCCAGGGCGGGUUUUGUCCCCUUUUCGCGCUGUCUUAAUGCGUCACCCGGACAUCAUCGGGCUAAUUGGCGUCUCGUGGCUGAAUUAAUGUGUAAUUAAUUGUGCCUAAGGCUGAGGCUGCAAAUUAUGAGCUCGUCGGCACUAACGAGUGGCGCCCGGGGAGGGGGGAAUCCUAUUUCAGGUUGUUGCCUCCAGGAUCGGCAUUAUUUUGCCUUAAAAUGCGCUGUUUACUGACAAAUAUUUAUAUUUUAGCAGGAACGAUGCCGGGAUCGUUUGUCGCUGUGACUGUUGCUUUGGUUUGGCGGCGGCGCCACGUUUCUGGGCAGAAACAUCUCCAAAACGGGAACGCAACUCAUUUAACUCUUCUCACCUCUUUCUGGGCCGAUACCCUCGUUUUCCCGGCUUUGCGGCAAAAGCCGGCGGCAGAAGCGGAGCCUGGCUGUGGAUCCCGUGCGGAGCCGACCUUCCCUAAGGGGCCACCGGGAAAAAGCCGUAUUCGGAGUGAGAGGA
Molecule: long non-coding RNA, 808 nt
Filed under: Dromaius novaehollandiae (emu)
Lineage: Eukaryota; Metazoa; Chordata; Aves; Casuariiformes; Dromaiidae
Description: lncRNA (ENSDNVG00000012757.1)
Source: RNAcentral